This is a long non-coding RNA of Helianthus annuus (common sunflower), 3461 nucleotides long. RefSeq lists it as uncharacterized. The record is from RefSeq and is a predicted model, not a curated record. The transcript is spliced from 2 exons. Lineage: Eukaryota; Viridiplantae; Streptophyta; Magnoliopsida; Asterales; Asteraceae.
UUAAACAUAUGUAUAUAUAUACGUGAAUAUAUAUAUAUAUAUAUAUAUACAAAUAUGAUUGUAUGCAAGAAUGGUUAAAGGGACGAAUGAGUCAUGUGGGUCAAAUGGUAAUCGCCAUUUAAACCUUGUACUUAAUGUUUAUUUUGACAAGUUUUAUGCUUAUAGAUAAGUGUAAUGAAUGGGCAUGCAUUGUCACAAUUGGAAAGAAAUAACCAUUGUAAGUUAUAGAUAACGAGUCAAAAGGUUUUGAUUCGUGCAAGGUAUGUACCAAGGUUAUGUUUUCUUUUAAGUAGGGGCUUAUAGCUCGAUUAGAGAAGGAUACGCCAGAAAUGGGUAGUUGGUGGACAUAUGGUCAGAAUGUAUUUUACAAUUGGAUUCUGAACAGUUAAAUGAAGCAAGUGAUAGUUAUUAAGCAAGUAAUAGUAAAAUUAGCAUGAAGUAUUUGAUUUACUAUGUAGGUAAAACCGAUGUAAGCUAUUGUAGUAGCAAGAAACCUUAGUUGAAAGAAAUAAGCUGUGAGCAAGUUACAUGAAAGGUAUAUUACUAAAUUACUCUUGUGGGUCAAAAUGAAUGACGGGCUACGACCCGAACAAUAACUUAAGUAUGGACGGGAAGGGUAAGUUUUGCAAGAAGAACGGAAAGGAUGUAUUAAACUACUUGUAUGUAAGCAUGAAUGAAAAGAAAUAUAAUCGUGUACUUCAUUACAUCCAUGAUAAUUAAGAAACGUCAGUUUGACCUUGGAAAAUCAACUGUAAUGGGUCGGUGAAAUAAUUAAAAAAAACGAAGGAAUUGUGGGUGUUUAAAACACUAAACAGAAUAAAUUGGAAAGAAUGUAAUAAUGAUAAGUACCAACGGAAAAUGCUAACCUUGAUGCUAGGUUUGUUGGCCAUGUUCAUUUAAACAAGAUAAUGUUAGAAGGAAGCCCAUGAGCGGAAGCCAUUCAUGAAAGGAAGGGAUAGAACCGGCCUUGACACGGACUCAUUCAGAAGCGGGCCAAUCAGGUUCGCAGAUCGUUAAGUUAUACAAUGAAGGCGAGGUUAGUAAAAUGUUUAAUUCUAGAUUGAAAGGUAAGAAUCUGUGAAUUAUUUGUACACAUGAAUGAAAUGAAUGGUAGGACAAAUAUGGUCUAGUAUGAAAUAACUGACUAGCACUGGUCAUCUUUAGAAAGUAUUUAUGCCAAUAAGAGGAAGAUUUAAGGACCCUGAAUGAAAACUUGGAACUAGUUGAUUAAUGCUCAUAUGUUGCUCUUUGCACGACAUGACGGGUUAGUAUAAGGAAGUAAUGUGAAAGAUUAAAUAUAAGGUUAGACAUAAGGUUGUAAGUAGUUCAAGUGGUGGUAGAAAUGUAGAUUAAUGAUUGAUCCUCAUGACAAGUACGGAUAAUGAGAUAUAAAAAUGAUAGUUAUGUUAGAAUGUUGAUACUUGGAUGUUUACGGUAAUGCGUACUAUUAUACGCUCACUUCACAUAGGGACAUGAAGGAACCUAGAAAGGAUGUUAGUUUCAAAUUAUGGAAUAUGGGAUGUGUCACAAACGUCAAUUCCUCACAACAUACUUAUGUAAGUCGUCCAGUGUAACCUGAAUGAAUGAACGAACGAAGAGUGAGACUAGACGGGUUAUAGAAGAAAUGAAAGAGGUUUCGGGGACGAAACCUUCUUUAAGGGGGGUAGAUUUGUAACACCCCAAAAACUCGAAUUAUUCAAUUACAAGUAUAUACCACGUUUAAAAGAAGGAAAUGAAAUAACUAGGUUAUUAAACCUAGUUAUAUGCUUGGUUAAAAUAAAUAAGGAUAGGAAAUUAAGUUAACUAUGAACAAAUGACAAACUUGAGGGGUUGAUUUGGAAAAGAUGGAAAGAUGAAAUAUAAAAUAAAAAUAAAAACUCAAAAACACACACUGAGUGUGUGUGGGGUGCGUACGAUCGCACAGGAGAAGAGGCAGAAAGGGGUACAAACCCUAAUUCAAGAUAAACCUUCAAAUUGAAAGGGGAAACUGGCUCUAAUCGGAUGCAUGGACCUAGAUUCUUAAUCAUCUAGACUUUCUACACAUGAGCUCGACUCUUGACAAACUAUAUGGGAUCUUGGAGAAGAAUGGGUUAAAUGGGUCAAGUACGCAAAGAAGCUCUAAUGGACACAAAGUAAGUAAGCUUACAUCUUUUGUAGAAUAUGAAUUUGUUUUUAUGAACUAUAAAUAUGAUAAAAUCGAAAUGCGGUUUCCGACGCAAUAUGGUACAUGUCGGAAUAUAUAUAAUCGAUAAAAACCAUGGUUAAUAGUAAAAAAGGGCAAAUUGGUAAUUUAGUCAUGAAUGACUAAGAUUUAAUGAGUUUUCGUUAAGGUUACCUUAUAGUGUAACUAAUAAAAGAAAUAGCGGGGUAAAAUCCGAAAUGGGUCGUAUGCGUGAAUUUGAAAUUAAAAUAUCAAGUUUUGUAAACAUCAAUAUUUGGUCAGUCAGACCACACGGGCCAAAUGGUAGUAAUAAUACCAUUUGACAAAUUCGACUAAUGUUUGGUUGGCAAGUCACUUGUUCAUAGGAACGAAUAGCAAUUUGGAUAAUUGCGUUGCCAUAAAGUUUCAACUAAUAAAGUGAGGUAUAAAAACGGGUCUAUGCGUUGACUCGAGCCAGGUACGCGACGAAACGUUUUGUUGUUGUUAAUUGUUAAUACGUAAAUCUUAUAUAUUGAUGAUAUAUGAAAGUUCGAGAUGUAAAAAUGUUUGAUUUGUCUAUAAUAAGGAUUUAUGAUAGACAAAUCAACGGGUUGAGCAAUAAUAGGUGCAAACCGGGUAAAUGGGUGCACAAUUCCAUAAGUGCUAAGCCCGGGGUUAUGGGUAAAGAAACAUUAAACACACAAGCCGGUAGUCGAAGCGAGAAUGCGAGUAGAAUAAAGGAUUUGGGGACGGGUUGUCAAAUUGAGUAUUAAGUCCCAUGCAUAGGAAUGUGAUUGAAAUAGGAUUUAUUGCUUAUUAGCGAACUAACCUCGUGUAUGUGUUUAUACAGUUUAAAUCAGUUGAAGUAAUAAGUUACUAAACCAUUGUCUUGAGUAUGAAAUGAGAAUGCAGGUAUUCUUUUAACGUUAUUAUCAGGGUUAAAGAAAUUGGAAUGCACGAAUGUACACGAAAAGCUUAUUCGUGGGGAUUAGUAUGGGAAGAAGGAACGCGGACUGGCUAUUGAUUACAUAGGUCUAGUUUAGGAAUGAUGUCAUUGUAUCUAACCGAUGUAUAUGUAUGUGGUGAAUGCAGGUGGCGUGGACUUAGCAUCAUUACGAAGAAAAGAAGGUUUGAAGGUCGAGUAAAGAGCGAGGGUUGUACGGGAAGGAUCAGUCACAUAAUUUGACAAAAAAAAAAUAUAUAAGUCUUGAAGUAUUAAUAUAACGGGACGUGGUAAAUUCCUUUUUAAUGAGUGUAUGAAUUUUUGUCUUGGAACCUUCUUGUAAGUAUUAUGUCUAGUAAAGAACGAAAUUUUUGGGCU